RNAcentral lists this transfer RNA (57 nucleotides) under Parachtes limbarae. Its description in RNAcentral is "tRNA-Pro". The record is from RNAcentral. Lineage: Eukaryota; Metazoa; Arthropoda; Arachnida; Araneae; Dysderidae.
CAUAAAUUAAUUUAUUAAAAUACCUGUUUUGGAUACAGACAUUACAUCUAUAACACU